This is a long non-coding RNA of Sander lucioperca (pikeperch), 101 nucleotides long. RefSeq lists it as uncharacterized. The transcript has 3 exons. The record is from RefSeq and is a predicted model, not a curated record. NCBI's taxonomy places the organism in Eukaryota, Metazoa, Chordata, Actinopteri, Perciformes, Percidae.
ACCUGCCCAGGGACUACAGGUGGAAAUUAACAAUUGUUGCUAUAACCUGGCCCAAGACAUAUUCUCUGGUAUUACUAGUUUAAUAAUAUUUAUUUGUGGAG